RNAcentral lists this ribosomal RNA (497 nucleotides) under uncultured bacterium. RNAcentral's name for it is "partial 16S ribosomal RNA". It matches the Rfam family "Bacterial small subunit ribosomal RNA", at positions 28 to 507 of the family's 1533-position model. The record is from RNAcentral.
GAUGAACGCUGGCGGCGUGCCUAAUACAUGCAAGUCGAGCGAACAGACGAGGAGCUUGCUCCUCUGCCGUUAGCGGCUGACGGGUGAGUAACACGUGGAUCACCUACCUAUUUGUCUUGGAUAACAUCGGGAAACCGGAGCCAAUACCGCAUAAUACAUUCUACCGCAUGGUUCAAUAGAUAAUCACGGCUUUCCUGUCACUUAUAGACGGAUCCGCGUCGCAUUAGCUAGUUGGUAAGGUAACGGCUUACCAAGGCGACGAUGCGUAGCCGACCUGAGAGGGUGAUCGGCCACACUGGAACUGAGACACGGUCCAGACUCCUACGGGAGGCAGCAGUAGGGAAUCUUCCGCAAUGGGCGAAAGCCUGACGGAGCAACGCCGCGUGAGUGAUGAAGGUCUUCGGAUCGUAAAACUCUGUUAUUAGGGAAGAACAAAUGUGUAAGUAACUAUGCACGUCUUGACGGUACCUAAUCAGAAAGCCACGGCUAACUACGUG